Molecule: long non-coding RNA, 699 nt
Organism: Drosophila gunungcola (fruit fly)
Lineage: Eukaryota; Metazoa; Arthropoda; Insecta; Diptera; Drosophilidae
Exons: 4
Source: RefSeq, a predicted model, not a curated record
GCGAACGCGAUGUGAUCGAAGCGGAACUGAACGCGAGAUUUCCUCAACUGCUGCUUGUUGCUGAUAUUACGGAGCCUUCAUCGUUGGAUUGCCCCAAGGACCUGGCCACAAAAUUGCAUUUAGCUCCAGCUUAACUAGAGGCCCACUAACCGAACUAGUUGAUAAGAAAAGCUUAGUAACGCUAGAUGUUAUUAUAUAUUUGUAUGUAGUUUGGCUUUUAGUUAAUCUAUGAUAUGCUCGUGCUUAUUAUUAUUAUUAUAAUCGUAAUUUGAAUAAAAAAUGCUUUGAUUUUAUUGCCAAUUUUGAUUUACGCUUUUUAAUAUUUGCGCUUAUUGAACACUCAUGAGGCGGAUCAGCAGACAACGCCGCUAACUGGAUCGAUUUAUGGAACUUCUCCAAAGCAGUGUAUUUGUGGUUGCUGUCCGACGGUGUUCGGUAGCUGUCAGCCAUAAGAUAUUUCCAUAGACACGCAGGCAGCCAAGGAGCAGGAGAAGAAGGAGAAGAAGGAGAAGCAGGAGGAGCAGGAUACCCGUAUAGCAGCAGCCACGAUUGAGUUGCAAGGCUUGCCAGACACCAGUCCAGACUUUGAGGGGAACGAGGAGCGUAAAGGCCACUGGCUCAGGAAACUCGAAAGUAGGCUGUGCUUUCACAAGGGUGUCUCGAGAAAAACCCAACUGAAAUCACACAAAAAUGUAUAAA